AGACGUCUGCCACGGUUUCGUUAGCUUUUCAUGGCUUUGAGCGAAUCUGUCCAAUGUCGUCUUACAUCGAUCAUUUCUGCCCUCAUGAUAGGAAGCGGGGUUGACCGACUUUAAUGGUUUACACUGUGCCAACCGGGCGAUUACAUUU
Molecule: small nucleolar RNA, 148 nt
Filed under: Bathycoccus prasinos
Lineage: Eukaryota; Viridiplantae; Chlorophyta; Mamiellophyceae; Mamiellales; Bathycoccaceae
Description: Small nucleolar RNA snoR2/U65
Rfam family: Small nucleolar RNA snoR2/U65
Source: Rfam by way of RNAcentral